This 439-nucleotide ribosomal RNA is filed under the name uncultured bacterium. RNAcentral describes it as "partial 16S ribosomal RNA". It matches the Rfam family "Bacterial small subunit ribosomal RNA", at positions 339 to 795 of the family's 1533-position model. The record is from RNAcentral.
CUACGGGUUGCUCCAGUGGGGAAUAUUGCACAAUGGGGGAAACCCUGAUGCAGCAACGCCGCGUGGAGGAUGACGCAUUUCGGUGUGUAAACUCCUUUUAUAUAGGAAGAUAAUGACGGUACUAUAUGAAUAAGCACCGGCUAACUCCGUGCCAGCAGCCGCGGUAAUACGGAGGGUGCAAGCGUUACUCGGAAUCACUGGGCGUAAAGCGCGCGCAGGCGGCCCCUUAAGUUGGAUGUGAAAGCCUACGGCUUAACCGUAGAACUGCAUCCAAAACUGAGGGGCUAGAGUCUGGGAGGGGAAGAUGGAAUUAGUUGUGUAGGGGUAAAAUCCGUAGAGAUAACUAGGAAUACCAAAAGCGAAGGCGAUCUUCUGGAACAGUACUGACGCUGAGGCGCGAAAGCGUGGGGAGCAAACAGGAUUAGAUACCCGGGUAGUC